UCUGAAUGGGGCAACCCUUAGAACGGCCAGCUGAAUCUAUAGGCUGGCGCGAGCCAACCCAGCGAACUGAAACAUCUUAGUAGCUGGAGGAAAGGAAAGUAAAAACGACUCCCUAAGUAGCGGCGAGCGAACGGGGAAGAGCCUAAACCAAUGGUUUCGACCAUUGGGGUUGUGGGACAGCAACGUGGAUCAGGAAUGUUAGUGGAAGUGUUUGAAAGACACGCCAUAGAAGGUGAAAGCCCCGUACACGAAAACUGAACUGACCUAGCUGUAUCCCGAGUAGCACGGAGCACGUGGAAUUCCGUGUGAAUCAGCGAGGACCACCUCGUAAGGCUAAGUACUCC
This 344-nucleotide ribosomal RNA is filed under the name uncultured bacterium. RNAcentral's name for it is "bacterial LSU rRNA". It matches the Rfam family "Bacterial large subunit ribosomal RNA", at positions 113 to 476 of the family's 2925-position model. The record is from RNAcentral.